CUUAGUGUACCUAGUGUACUUAAUAUAACACUUAGUGUAUUUAGUGUUUCAGUUUAGUGUAGAGAGGCUUCUUUCUUCCUCUUCUGGAGGAGUCACUGGUUAGAGACGAAUUCCGUGGUUAGAGCGUACUUGGUCUUUAGAAGACGACUUUGGUGUCCAUUGCCAACCGCAUCCGAGAUCGCAACCCUGUUCCCUGUCAGUCCCAGCUCAUCAGCAAAGGGCUCGGUGGCUCUCUCCAGAGGAGACUGGACGAGGUUGUCAAAGCGGCUGGAUCAAAAGUGUUGCCAUGUCGGAUGGAGCGGUGUCCACGAUGAACCUGAGCAUGGAGAUUUCUCCCUCUGCGCUGAAGAUCUCACUGUGCAUGUCCAGCCCUGGAUCGUGGUGGACUCUGGUGGCCACUGGAGUCCUUGGAGCUGCCUCCCUCUGGCUCUGCUGGGGCUGGAUUCGAGAGUCGAGGUCACCCCCAGCAGGAACAACUGGGGCCACUGGAGGAUCCCCAAGGACACAACUUGCCGUUUUCAUGCAGGAAGAAUCUGAAUCGUUUCCAUCCAGUUUCCCCGGCAUGCAGCAGAAUACAACACAAGGGGCUGCAGUCUUCUCUGACUCUUAGGACCCUUACAAGAUCCUGUUCUGUCCAAAUCAGGGUGAUUUGCACAAGCAUCCUCAGGGCUCUGGACCUUAGUUUCUUUCCCUGGUUGAUUGAUUGAUCAUAUAGAUGUCCUGACUCACAUAGCUGAAAAUCAGAUGUGGUGAAAGUGCACUGAGACCAGAAACAAUGUUAUCAUCUUCAAAUGC
This 795-nucleotide long non-coding RNA is filed under the name Macaca fascicularis (crab-eating macaque). Its description in RNAcentral is "uncharacterized LOC105375012". Lineage: Eukaryota; Metazoa; Chordata; Mammalia; Primates; Cercopithecidae. The record is from RNAcentral.